AUUGAACGCUGGCGGAAUGCUUUACACAUGCAAGUCGAACGGCAGCACGGACUUCGGUCUGGUGGCGAGUGGCGAACGGGUGAGUAAUACAUCGGAACGUGCCCAGUCGUGGGGGAUAACGUAGCGAAAGCUACGCUAAUACCGCAUACGAUCUACGGAUGAAAGCGGGGGAUCGCAAGACCUCGCGCGAUUGGAGCGGCCGAUGGCAGAUUAGGUAGUUGGUAGGGUAAAGGCCUACCAAGCCGACGAUCUGUAGCUGGUCUGAGAGGAUGAUCAGCCACACUGGGACUGAGACACGGCCCAGACUCCUACGGGAGGCAGCAGUGGGGAAUUUUGGACAAUGGACGCAAGUCUGAUCCAGCCAUUCCGCGUGCAGGAUGAAGGCCCUCGGGUUGUAAACUGCUUUUGUACAGAACGAAAAGGCUCUGGUUAAUACCUGGGGCUCAUGACGGUACUGUAAGAAUAAGCACCGGCUAACUACGUGCCAGCAGCCGCAGUAA
This 500-nucleotide ribosomal RNA is filed under the name uncultured bacterium. RNAcentral's name for it is "partial 16S ribosomal RNA". It matches the Rfam family "Bacterial small subunit ribosomal RNA", at positions 30 to 523 of the family's 1533-position model. The record is from RNAcentral.